Long non-coding RNA from Ailuropoda melanoleuca (giant panda), 2874 nucleotides. RefSeq lists it as uncharacterized. The record is from RefSeq and is a predicted model, not a curated record. The transcript has 3 exons. Lineage: Eukaryota; Metazoa; Chordata; Mammalia; Carnivora; Ursidae.
CCUGGCCCCUUCCCAAGGAGAAAGGGCUGAUGAAAAUAAAAAGUUCAGGGCGAUGUUUAUCUCCCAGUAUUUCCUGCUCAACCUGAAAUUCAAGCACGGGGAAAUCUCCUUAGUCUCUCAGAUUCUCUGGUUCCUCAUUUAUUAAGCCCAUCUCUUGAUGUAGUUCUGAAGAUUAAGUGAGAUCAUCUGCGGCACGUUCCUAUACUUUCCUGAAGAUGGCCAGCACCCGACUCGGGCACGUUUCCAUUCCUUCUCUGUAACCAGGUCAGUCCCCGGGGAGGCAGAGAUCAAUAUAUGCACAAGAGAUCUCGGCAGGCAGCAAAAUGGAGUCUCUCAUGUCAAGCAGGAGCCGUGUCAAGCAGUGACACGAGCAGUUCGGGUACUGCAGCUAGGACAUAUCUCCAGGUCCAGCAUCAGCUGACACCCCAGAACUGAUAAUAAGCAGAAGCAGAGGAAGUCUGUGGGUUGUUUGUUUUUUAAAUCCCUUUAAAAGGGAGGAUUUGGGCAGCAAGCUGUCAGACUCCUCAGACGUCGUGAUCUCUCUAUGUCUGACCACUUAAAAAAGGCGAUUGCGCUGAAGACUCUGCCCAGUGGAUCUCGGAACAGAACCGGGACCCUUCCCUGCUGGAACAUCAGCAGCUGUGAGUGCCGACAGCGGACCCGGACUAGACGGAGGCCUCGUCCCCGCUGCGCGCCCACCGACCGACUUCACCUUUGCUGCACCGUGCAGAGCUAACAAAGGGGCAUGAAGGAAAGUGGCAAAGAAGAAGAGAAGAAGAAGCAACAGCAACCCGCAGAAGCAGAACAGCAGAACCUACAAGACGUCCAGCGGUGACCUUGGUACAGGGUACAGCAAAGGUGCCAAGCAACAGUCAGAAUCUGUGGACGAUCUCCAGCCCUGUUCCUAACAGGCUCUGUGGUCAUUGCCUCCAAAGGGGCAGGAAGAAGCAUGGAAAGCAGAGGUCUGUAGAAGUUUGGGGACUUCUUGGGUUUGUCUUCCUAGAAGAUUUUAUCAGUUGAGAAGAUUAGGGCUUGAGGAGCGGGGGCAAGGCCAUUGUGGGGAGAGAGACAGAAGCAGGAAAAAGACUCCUAUGGCCUGGGAGCAGGAUGGAAGUAAAGAGAAGGGCCAGGCUGGAAUUUCUUGCCAGGUUAGCUUCAUGAGGACUCUGAAUGAAAACUAUAGUAAUAUAGUUUUAAUACAGAGAUGAGAUUUCCCAUAAACUUUGUGAACUGAGGUUUACGUCAAUGUGCAGGUAUUUUCUUCUCUUGAUACAAAUGGAAGGCUUGAGGUUUCAGGAGUACGGUAGGUUUCUUACUACUUUGAUAGAGGUAAGGAAAGAAAGCAGGUUAGAAUCAGAGAAUUGCUUUCAAGGUUACUGACCGGCCAACUAAAAGAACAGUUUCAUUUUAGGUUUUUUCUGCCUUUGGAGUAGGGAGUGGCCCAGCUACCCUGACUGGAAGGAUGCAUGGGAGGAGGGAGGGUCCUCUCCAGAACAUUACCUAUGCCAUUUCCUGACUGCUAAUGAGUAGUUAAUACAUUUUGUUCUUGAUUUCAAGCUUUUAAAAACUAAGUUUCAAAAUAAAAAUUUAUUAAAAAGAUCCUCACCAUAGUAGGUAGGAUUUUCUAAUGUCCCAUCUCACUGAAAGUUCCCUUGGAACGGGAGGAGGGAGCCCGGAGGAAGCCUUAUCAGGAAGGGCAGUCGAGGUGGACCUAAUAUCCCUGAGGAGCAGCCAGGGCACAGGGCUGUAAGAGCACCUGGCUCCUGGGUCCCAAACAGACCAGGAUUGGCCAAUUGCCACUGACAGAAUCCAAAGGCAGAGAGAUGAGUGGUGGUGAAAUAAGAAAGGAAUUUAGUUCAGUGAGGCCCACACUGGAAAGGAGAGGACUAACGUCUCAAAGUUGCCUCCCAAGUGACGAAAAUACUUCCAGGUUUAUAUAAGGAAAAUGUGCAACAAAGGUUGGUGGGUCCCUGAAGGUGGGCAGUGAACGUCAAAUCCAUCACUGCCUUGGAGUCGAUUGCACAGGCUCAGGGCAGCCCUUAUUGCUUGAGGGGUAGUUUCAGUCCCCACCAGGGGAUGUUACACCCGUAGGGUCUCCACCCUGAGCGGAGAGACAAGCUAGAAAGAACCCAACUAAAAAGUCUGAGGUCACCAUUGAGGCAGCAGAAGUCCUCGUUCAAGGCCGAUGUGACAGGGUGUGUAUGAGAAAGAGGUCAGGCCUUCCCUAGACCUCCCAGAGCCGAGACUCUGUAGAGAAAGCCCCUGACUGGGGUCUCCUUAGGAAACAGGCCACCUUCCCCAUUUGUGGAAACAAAGCCAAUCAACAGUAGAGAAAGAGGUGGCCUCUAUCAAGAAGAAGGGACAACAUUGUCCUAGGCAGAAACAAUCCUGCCUGCCUCCUUCCAGUCACAGAGCGGAAGUCCCCAGGCCGGUGUGUGAGACAGCAGGUCACAGCCUCCUCCAUUCCCAGCCUCCACUCAGCCCCUGCCCGAGUGGGAGGCGCAGGUUGAACAUGACACUGAAGUUUCAUAAAUAAAGAUUUUAAUUGUAUAGGAGAUUGAAGUUUGUUAAAUGAACAUGACCAAAAUAUAAGAACUAGAAUGAGAUUGUUUUAAUGUCAGAAAACUUGUGGAGUUAGGUUGAGAUAUUGCUAAGUUAGCCUAACUAUGAACAGGUACGGUGGCAGACAAGGGAACGGGAUGGUGAUCAAGACAGUACAGUUCACAGAAGCUUUGGGAAAAAGAAAAAUUAUAUUUUGUUCAUACACCAGUGAGUUGAGCUUGCUCAUUAAAAAUAAUUAUGUUUAUUAACAGUUUAAUUUUUUGUCCUUGGUCUAUUUUUCUAUUGGGCCAUUCUCUCUAUCUAUUAAAUAAU